Molecule: ribosomal RNA, 497 nt
Filed under: uncultured bacterium
Lineage: Bacteria
Description: partial 16S ribosomal RNA
Rfam family: Bacterial small subunit ribosomal RNA
Source: RNAcentral
GAUGAACGCUGGCGGCGUGCCUAAUACAUGCAAGUCGAGCGAACAGACGAGGAGCUUGCUCCUCUGACGUUAGCGGCGAACGGGUGAGUAACACGUGGAUAACCUACCUAUAAGACUGGGAUAACUUCGGGAAACCGGAGCUAAUACCGGAUAAUAUAUUGAACCGCAUGGAUCAAUAGUGAAAGACGGUUUUGCUGACACUUAUAGAUGGAUCCGCGCCGCAUUAGCUAGUUGGUAAGGUAACGGCUUACCAAGGCAACGAUGCGUAGCAGACCUGAGAGGGUGAUCGGCCACACUGUAACUGAGACACGGCCCAGACUCCUACGGGAGGCAGCAGUCGGGAAUCUUCCGCAAUGGGCGAAAGCCUGACGUAGCAACGCCGCGUGAGUGAUGAAGGUCUUCGGAUCGUAAAACUCUGUUAUUAGGGAAGAACAAAUGUGUAAGUAACUAUGCACGUCUUGACGGUACCUAAUCAGAAAGCCACGGCUAACUACGUG